GGGUUUUCCGAUUUUUGCAGAUUUAGCUUUCCUUCUAACUUAGCUUCGAUAGUCCUAAAAACUUGAAAAGAAAAUAAACUAAAAUUGAAAAGAUUUUAAAAUGCAAAAGUUGGAUUGCCUCCCAACAAUUGCUAAGUUUAAAAUUUUCGAUCGGACUAAAUCUUUGAUACAGGAUCAGUUAGUAUAAAUGAGCUCAUGGAGAACUAUGGCCUCCUUCACAACUUCAAUGGACAACUUCAAGAAUG
This 245-nucleotide long non-coding RNA is filed under the name Elaeis guineensis (African oil palm). RNAcentral describes it as "long non-coding RNA (EGUI_LNC014922)". The record is from RNAcentral. Lineage: Eukaryota; Viridiplantae; Streptophyta; Magnoliopsida; Arecales; Arecaceae.